Molecule: ribosomal RNA, 885 nt
Filed under: uncultured bacterium
Lineage: Bacteria
Description: bacterial SSU rRNA
Rfam family: Bacterial small subunit ribosomal RNA
Source: RNAcentral
AGCUUGCUAAUAAUUCUCUAGUGGCGCACGGGUGAGUAACACGUGAGUAACCUGCCCCCGAGAGCGGGAUAGCCCUGGGAAACUGGGAUUAAUACCGCAUAGUAUCGAAAGAUUAAAGCAGCAAUGCGCUUGGGGAUGGGCUCGCGGCCUAUUAGUUAGUUGGUGAGGUAACGGCUCACCAAGGCGAUGACGGGUAGCCGGUCUGAGAGGAUGUCCGGCCACACUGGAACUGAGACACGGUCCAGACACCUACGGGUGGCAGCAGUCGAGAAUCAUUCACAAUGGGGGAAACCCUGAUGGUGCGACGCCGCGUGGGGGAAUGAAGGUCUUCGGAUUGUAAACCCCUGUCAUGUGGGAGCAAAUUAAAAAGAUAGUACCACAAGAGGAAGAGACGGCUAACUCUGUGCCAGCAGCCGCGGUAAUACAGAGGUCUCAAGCGUUGUUCGGAAUCACUGGGCGUAAAGCGUGCGUAGGCUGUUUCGUAAGUCGUGUGUGAAAGGCGCGGGCUCAACCCGCGGACGGCACAUGAUACUGCGAGACUAGAGUAAUGGAGGGGGAACCGGAAUUCUCGGUGUAGCAGUGAAAUGCGUAGAUAUCGAGAGGAACACUCGUGGCGAAGGCGGGUUCCUGGACAUUAACUGACGCUGAGGCACGAAGGCCAGGGGAGCGAAAGGGAUUAGAUACCCCUGUAGUCCUGGCAGUAAACGGUGCACGCUUGGUGUGCGGGGAAUCGACCCCCUGCGUGCCGGAGCUAACGCGUUAAGCGUGCCGCCUGGGGAGUACGGUCGCAAGAUUAAAACUCAAAGAAAUUGACGGGGACCCGCACAAGCGGUGGAGUAUGUGGCUUAAUUCGAUGCAACGCGAAGAACCUUACCUGGGCUUGAC